CGAAAGCCUGACGGAGCAACGCCGCGUGUGGGAAGAAGGCCUUUGGGCUGUCAACCACUUUUCUCAGGGAAGAAGACCUGACGGUACCUGAGGAAUCAGCCUCGGCUAACUCCGUGCCAGCAGCCGCGGUAAUACGGAGGAGGCAAGCGUUAUCCGGAAUGAUUGGGCGUAAAGCGUCCGCAGGUGGCCGUUCAAGUCUGCUGUCAAAGCCAGGGGCUCAACUCCUGACCGGCAGUGGAAACUGAACAGCUAGAGUGCGGUAGGGGCAGAGGGAAUUCCCGGUGUAGCGGUGAAAUGCGUAGAGAUCGGGAAGAACACCGGUGGCGAAAGCGCUCUACUGGGUCGCACCUGACCCUCAGGGACGAAAGCUAAGGUAGCG
Molecule: ribosomal RNA, 379 nt
Filed under: uncultured cyanobacterium
Lineage: Bacteria; Bacillati; Cyanobacteriota
Description: bacterial SSU rRNA
Rfam family: Bacterial small subunit ribosomal RNA
Source: RNAcentral